Daucus carota subsp. sativus is the source of this 412-nucleotide long non-coding RNA. RefSeq lists it as uncharacterized. NCBI's taxonomy places the organism in Eukaryota, Viridiplantae, Streptophyta, Magnoliopsida, Apiales, Apiaceae. The transcript has 3 exons. The record is from RefSeq and is a predicted model, not a curated record.
AAAAAAAAUCCUCUCCACUCUCAAGCUACUGUCUUUCUUCUUCUCUCUCACGCUGCACAUCUUCAAAAUCCUCUCCGGUCUCACACUGCAAAUAUUUGAUAUCAAUCAAGGGUAAAGUUGGAGAGUUAUUAAUGUUGCUUUGUAUCUAACUUCAGUUUGAUCUCCAACUGUUCCUGUUUUCCAGGAUGGUGCUGCCAAGAAAAUUGCCUUUCAGCUUCAGUGCCAGACAUGGAAACUUGAGAGAGCAUUGAAAAACUUUCUGUAUGAUCAAUUAGAUAUCUCGGAGGAAGUUCAAGAACAGGUAAGACCUAUCCCCAAAAAACUCAGAGGAGAAUAGAAAGCCCAGUUCUCCUGUAAUUCCUGAUGAUUUUUUAUUUCCUAUUCCCCUUGAAGCGCUGAGGGACCUUGUUAU